CCUACGGUUGGCAGCAGUGGGGAAUAUUGCGCAAUGGGCGAAAGCCUGACGCAGCGACGCCGCGUGAGGGAUGAAGGUCUUCGGAUCGGAAAACUCUGUCAGCAGGGAAGAACGGUCACUGUGCUAAUCAGCAGUGAAUUGACGGUACCUGCAAAGGAAGCACCAGCUAACUCCGUGCCAGCAGCCGCGGUAAUACGGAGGGUGCGAGCGUUAAUCGGAAUUACUGGGCGUACAGCGCUCGUAGGUGGUAUGUCAAGUCAAGGGUGAAAUCCCCGCGCUCAACGUGGGAACUGCCUUUGAAACUGGCAAACUGGAGUGUGAGAGAGGAUAGUGGAAUUCGAGGUGUAGGAGUGAAAUGCGUAGAUAUCUGGAAGAACAUCGGUGGCGAAGGCGACUAUCUGGCACAUAACUGACGCUGAGGAGCGAAAGCGUGGGUAGCGAACAGGAUUAGAUACCCUUGUAGUC
Molecule: ribosomal RNA, 465 nt
Filed under: uncultured bacterium
Lineage: Bacteria
Description: partial 16S ribosomal RNA
Rfam family: Bacterial small subunit ribosomal RNA
Source: RNAcentral